This 1705-nucleotide long non-coding RNA is filed under the name Daucus carota (carrot). Its description in RNAcentral is "long non-coding RNA (DCAR_LNC005070)". Lineage: Eukaryota; Viridiplantae; Streptophyta; Magnoliopsida; Apiales; Apiaceae. The record is from RNAcentral.
UAAUUGUAUCACAAUUUGAAGAAAUAUAUUAUGUCGCAAAAAUCAUUUAUGUCGUAGCACAAAAUUGCUGUACCACAAAGCUAAGCUGAGUUGUCGACAAGUAUUUAUCUCUAUCUUAAAGAUUUCUAAAGCUGAGUUCUCUAUAAUAUAAUGGAGGACCAAACCAGAGAACCCAAUUUCUAAUCCGAUCAGUUAUGAGCUCUUAGAAAGAUAUGACAAUGGAGGGCCAUUCGAAUAUCAUUGUACCUCGAGAAUCAUUCCUUCUCUAUGUACACACUUUCCUUAUCCAUCUCUUUUAAUCCUCUUUUUUAUCGUCUAUUUUAUUAUUAUAUUAUUGAUUUGCUUCACUGAUUAGCAGAAUCCUGCGAUUAGAUUCAUGGGAAGACUAUUUCACCAAACUUAAUUAUGGACAAAUAUAGUUUAUUAGAUAAAUUUGAAAAGCUCGGUUCUAGGCAAUUCGCUUGUGUGUUGGCCUGCGAAGAUCUCAACAUGUUUGAUCUCUUCUUUUUUAUGUAUUCUAGAUUACUUAUAAGUUAUAAUGUAGAGAAAAUCGGAAGUGUGCUGCUACGGGUUUCAAAUCAAACACAUGAUACUGCUCCGACUUUCAAAUCCUAUGGGGUUCCUCGUGGCUCAACUGGUAUGCCCUUCUAUUACAAUUAUUUAUAAUAUUCUUUCUUUUUCUCAUGAUUUUGAGUGGAAUUGCGAAAAGUGUUGACUUUAAUCUUGUUUGUUUGCGGGUAUUUGUUUGUUUGUUUAAUCCUUGUGUUUUAUUUGGUUUUUGGUGUUUUUGGUGAUUUUUCGUGUUAUAUGUGAGACGCUUCGUUGUUCAUUUCGCAUACGACGAGGCAACUUGACCGAUAGCAUAGCGGUGGUGGCUGAUGGUGGCGGUGAUGACGGCGGUUUCAGGACGGGAUCCGGUUCAGAAAGGAAAGCGCGCUAAUUGUGCCUUAAUUGAGGGCGGUAAUUGUGCCUCGUUAAUUGUGCAUGUUUAUUGAGGGCGUAAAUUGUGGCUCAAUUAUUGAGGGCGUAAAUUGUGCCUCUUUAUUUAGGACGUUAAUUGGGCCUUAUUUAAGGGCGUUAAUUGUGUCUUAAUUAAGGAUAUUAAUAUUUUAUUAUUAUGCCUUAAUUAAGAGCUUAAUUGUCUCAAUCAUGAGUUAUCAUGAUUGUGGGAAUAUUUUGAUGUAAUGUGUUAAAUAUAUCAACUUAUAUUCUUCUUGUUUCUCUUGUUUUAUUUUCAGGAUUCUUGGAAGAAGACCGGUUUUUCUUAGCGGACAUUAAAGUUUUAUUGUCCAAAUUGCCCCGGUCAUCUUGCAUGUCCGACGGUUAGAUAAUAAGUUUUCUUGAAUGAAAGAAUUAUCACGGUGAAUUGCCGAUUCUCGUUGAGAUUUAUUCUCAUUUCCAAAAAAAAAAAAAAAAAACUGAGUUCUCUGGAGAAUAAUUUUGUUAUCGGAAACUAUUCUAUCCUCUCAAUUAUUAUUUUCAAUUCAACUCGUAAGUGUAAAAGCACCCGUAAUACCAUCCGAACCCUCCUUUAAUCAAUUCAAUAGUAAAAGCAAUCUUAUUUGUUAAUUAUUUAUAUACGCUGAUUUAUAGGGAAAAAUCGUUUAUGGAAGAGUUCAGACGAAAUUAAAACAAUGAUCUUGUGGAGAUCGAUCAUAAGAUUAAUUCAACUAAUGGGAAUUUUCAGGAAAAUGAAUAAAACCGA